This 20-nucleotide small nuclear RNA is filed under the name Arabidopsis thaliana (thale cress). RNAcentral describes it as "snRNA_10574". Lineage: Eukaryota; Viridiplantae; Streptophyta; Magnoliopsida; Brassicales; Brassicaceae. The record is from RNAcentral.
GUUUUUGGUCCCAAGGCUCG